GCGCCUCCCCGCUGAGUGACGCUUCCGUGCGCAUGCACCUCCCCCGCCUUCUCCCCGGAGGAUCCUGACGCGCAUGCGCGGCGUGCCUGGCUGCGACUGGAAAAGGGAAAUCCGGAAAUGAACCCGGCAGGGGGCGGGGCGUGACCUUUGACCCCGCGCACGCGGAGGACGGCGGCGGCAGCGGCGCACGCGGGACGCGGCCGUGGAGACCAUGGAGCAGCCCCUGGAGCUCGAGAGCGAUGACGAUCUCACAGACAGCGAGGAGAGCGUUUACUCGGGGCUGGAGGACUCUGGCAGCGACAGCACCAACAGCAGCGCCGGGGAGGAGGAGGAUGAAGACGAGCGGGAGGAGCCUGGCAGCGGGGCAGCCCCCGAGGUCAAAGGGGCUCCCAGGAAGAGCAAAGCCCUGGGGGCUGAUCCCCCUCCAAAGGAUGGCGAGGGUCUGAGCGUUCCGGAUGAGUACGUGGAAGACAGCUCGGAUGAGGAGGUAGGACCGCCUGCCAACUUGUGGAUGCAACGUAGGGCUGGUGGAUUUCUUACUGCGUCGUCUUCCGUGCAAACCCAGAGGGAGGGACGUUGGGUCAAAGAGCGCUGGGUGUGAAGGGGGGCUGCCCACCCUGCAGCUCGCUGCUGGCACCCAGGGGGACUGGGGGGGGCUGGUGAUGGAGCGCAGCGCUCGCGGUGCCUGGCGCGGGAGGUUGGAAACUGCUUGUGCAAGAGGCAGCAGGAUGCCGGGCCGCAGAAUGCUCCUUGGCUUGGCUCGUUCCAGACCAACUUCAUUGCCUUUCUUAAUCGUCUGCUAAAUCAAUUAACGCCGUUGGCGCAAAUCAGCUGCUCCUGCAGAGCCCUGGGGUCGGGAUGGGGUGAGCGCCAAGCGCGCGGGGGCGUUCGGUCUGGCCCUAUCGCCGGGCUCUGGGUUCACUGGAAGGUGCUGGGACAGGUUUGUGGGGGCAGCUUGAGGGCUGUUGGUGAGCUUUGAGGGCACGGUGUGCUAUAUUGGGGUGCAACCUGCUAUAUUGGGGUGCAGCCUGCUAUACUGGGGCGCAGCGUGCUACAUUGGAGCAUUGGGAGGCUUCAAAACCCCAUUUUGAGGCUUAAUGGCCUGUUUUGAGGGAUCGUGGGCCCAUUUUAAGAACUCAUAUCCCAUUGGCAGGAGUUGGACUUGAUGAUUCCUGAUGGGUCCCUUCCAAGUUGGGACACGUUCUCUGAUUCUGUGGUGCGAUAUACCGGGGUGCAGCGUGGUAUAAGGGGCAUUUUGAGGGCUCAGAACCCCAUUUUGAGGGCUUGUGGACCUUUUUUGAAGGAUCACAGUCCUACUUUGAGAACUCCUAGCCCCAUUGCUAGGAAAUUAACUUCAUGAUCCCUACGGGUCCCUUGCAAGUCGGGAUAUAUUCUGUGAUAUGGUAUAUCGGGACAUGGUGUGGUAUACUGGGGUAUGGUCUGGUAUGUUGGAACAUGGCGUAAUGUUUUGGGACAUUUUGAGGGUUCAUAGCCCCAUUUUGAGGGCUUAUGGCCCUAAUUUGGGGAGAUCACGGCCCCAUCUUAAGUCCUCCCACUAUUGCCAGCAGUUGAACUCGAUGAUCCUUAUGGGUCCAUUCCAAGUCGGGAUACAUUCCCUGAUUCUGUGGCACGGUAUAUCGGGGCAUGGCAAGGUGUAUUGCAGAAUGGCGUGGUAUGUCGGGCCGUGGUGUUGUACAUCAGGGCAUUUUGAGGGCUCGGAAUCCUAUUUUGAGGUCUUACGGCCCUAUUUUGAGAGUUCACGGUCCCAUUUCGAGUAUUCCUAGCCCAAUUGCCAGGAGUGGACUUGAUGAUCCUUACAGAUCUCUUCCAAGCUGGGAUACGUUCUGUGAUUCUGUGGCACGGCGUAUUGCAGAACUGCGCGGUGUAUGAAGGCACGGUGUGGUGCAGCGGGGCAUUGAGCGCCAGCACAGCGGCUCCUGGGCCCUGCAGCCAGCGAAGGGCCUCAGCCCUGGCUCUGGAGACACGAGGGGGGCCUGGAGCACACCGUGCCCCGGGGCUGGACGCUGGAGGCCCACCUGGGUUGGCGCUGGAGCUGCCGGCAGCCCCCGGAUCUGGAAUAGAGAUUUAGAGAGAGGGGAAAUAUAUGACUAUAGAAAACAUACACUUGUGUAAUGUCUCCAGCAUAACCCAGGAAAAAAAACCCUUUCAUGCAGGAAUCCGAGGUCUCCCCCCUCCCCAGCCGGUCCCGGUGCAGGGCCCCCGUGGGGGGAGAGCUGAUUCAGAACCUGUUGACAUCAGAGCAGCUUCCAGUGGCUUUGUUCCUGCUCCCCGCUCCCAGCCCCCUGCCCUCUGCGAUUGUAUUUAUCUCUCCUCCAGAAGAUCCCCGGUGCUGCUGCUGCUUCCUGUGGCCGCUUUGCGCUCGUCGCCCCGCGCUGCCCCGGCUUCGUCCUUCUGUGCUGCAGCAGGGGCCGUUAUCUUCCAUUUCUCCUUAUCUUUUCUUCAUUGAGACCCCCAGCUUCUGUUCCGUAGCGUCGUUCUAACGAAUGCGUGAGCUCAUCCUUAUUAAUGAGCGGCCUCAUCCUCCUCAAAGGACCGCAGUGCUCUCAACAGAGAUACUGGAGGUGCACGCAGCCCCUGAGGGCCCCGCGGAUGGGGCUCAGCCCAUCGCACCCGCAGGCAUUGGGAGCAAACGGUGAAUGAACGGGAUGCACCGGGGGGCUCCCAUCCCACACCCACCCCUGUGCAGCCCUCGGGAAAGCAUGGCAACGAGUGUUGAUGUGGGCACAGCGCCGUCCGUCCCUGCAGCUGCGCUGGGACAGCGGGCCGUCCCUCCCCAUUUGCCCCCCACGGAGCUGCGGGAGCGGUGUCCCCAUCCAUCGCCCCCAGCACCGGGUGCCCAGGGACACCACACACCAAGUCGAGGUAGAGGCGGCCCUGCUGCACCUUGUCACCUGCAGGUGGCUGCCCGACACCGGGCGAUGCUGCGACACUGCUCUCCCCCCGUGGGGCUGCCGCCGUCUGACCCAUCGCUGUGCCCACAGCCGACCCCACAAGCAGCACGGGUGGGAAAACAUCCACGGUGCCCCCGGAGCGCCCGGAGCCGUGCCGCUGUCACUCAGCGCCUGCGCGGGGGCUCCGAGCUCCUUAAUAAAGAGUAAUGGCCCCGCGCUGCCCCGCGCUCCCGCUCGCUUGGCAGCUCCUCCUGGCCACGCGCCCGGCCGCUGUGCCGUGAGCUCUGAGCAGAGACACAACAAAACCCCGGCGGUUUCCUGGCCGGGUGCGCAGCCCGCGGUGCCUGCGGGGCUCCCGGUGGCACAGCAGUGCGGGUGCCCGCGGUGCCGGCGCUCCCCCCGGCGCUCGGCACGGAGAUGAAUGGCCGCGAGCUGCCGCGGCUGUCAGGGCCUCGCUGGGAGGAAGCAGUUUGGGGCUUUUGUUUGGUUCUGUUUCCUCCCACAAUGACUAUUCCAUAUGUCAGUGGAUAAUGAAUGAAGGAGCGCUGAGUGCUCCUCGGAGCGCGGCGGCCGUUCCAAGCCCACUUCCCUCCUCCGCAGCGCAGCUGAGCCGGGCGGGGGGCGAGCGCUGGCCGGGCGCAGGGAGCUCUUCUUUCAGUAGCUGAUUAGCCAAGAGAGAAAAGUGCUGCAGAAUGUGCUGCUGGCAGACGGCUCCUUCACUCAUCACUCUGUGUGUGUGUGUGUGUGUGCGCGGCCCUGCGUGCGCUUCCUGACCUGCCUGGCUCUGCCUGAUCUCCGUGCUCCCCCGCGAGCGCGCCUGGCCAACGAGCGUGUGCUCAGACCCUGGAACGGUGAGGGAGGAGUGGGCAGUGCCAUGCUGGAGCUCAUGGACAGUCAGUGCCGUGCCAGAGCUCGUGGGCAGUGCUGUACCGGAGCUUGUGCUCCAUGCUGUGCCAAAGCUCUGGAGAUGGGCGAGGAGGGGCCCUGUGGGCAGUGCUGUGCUGUGCUGGAGUUUGCAAGCAGUGCUGUGCGGUGCCAAAGCUCCAGAGCCAGGAAAGGAGGGACCCAGCAGAUGGCUGUGCUGUGCCAAAGCUCAUGGGCAGUGCUGUGCCGUACCAGAGCUCUGCAGAUGGACAAGGAGGGGCCCUGUGAGCAGUGCCGUGCUGUGCCAAAACUCUGCAGCCAUGCAAGGAGAGCUUCUGUGUGUGGCUGUGCUGUACAGAGGCUCACGGGCAAUGCCACGCUCUACUGAAGCUCCAGAGCCAGAUAAGGAGACACUCAACAGUCGGUGCCGUGCCAAAGCUCACAGCAGCCCUGUGGUGGCACUGGGGGAACCUCCCGAUUCCCAAACCAGCUCUGCUGCUCAAUUCCACACUUCUUACGCCCAACUUUUUUCCGAGGGGGAAGUGCCUCUCAGUGUUGCUGCGUCCCUUCCAAAAAGCUCCGCUUCCCAUUGCUGGGAGCAGCGCACGCUGCAGCUGGGUUGCGCACUGGGGAGGGACCGUGGCACGGAGCUUUGGGUGCUUGCCUGCACCGAAGGAUGUGGCUCAGGGCUCCUCGGUGCCUCCUGUCCCCUCGAGCACAAACGAUUCCUGGGAAGGCAGGAGCUGCCACACACGACAUCAGGAAGGAGCUGAAGGAUGGACGCGGGGAGGAAAGCGGUGCGUUGCAGCUCCAGCCCACCGCUGAGGUCCUCCAGCUGCAGUGCCAUGCCCCAUUUCCACAAUUCCGUUUUGGAACAGCGGAGGGAGAGUGAAAGGAGCUGCAGAGAUGGAUGGAGGGGAUAAUUGGAGGCCUGGGGGGAGCAUGCAGACGAGGAGAUGUGAGAAGGGGAGAUUUGUGCCGGCUGGAGGCAAAGCGGAGUCGGGAGGACGCUAACAGGAUGCAGGAGGAAGCACGGGGAUAUUUGACGAGAUGAAACGGCGUCAGGUUGAAAUGGAAAUGAAAUGGGAGGAGAGGGACGCACUCGCUGUGCAGCCGUAUUGUCCUGCACGGCACAGGGCAGAGCAUCACAGCACCACCAGAGGCUGCACAGACGUCUGGGUCUGCACACAGUGAUGCCAAUAAUAACGGGAACGUCGGGAGCUGCGGUGCUCCAGGCUGAGAUCGAUGCUAUGGGACCUCAAGGAUCCACGAUGGUCCCUGAGCCGCACGCACCAGGAACGCUCUGCUAUGUGCUGGGUGGUUGUAGAACCAUGGAGGAUGGAUAACAUCUCCAAGAUCCCCCAGUCCAACCCCAACCCAUCUCCACCAUGGCCCUAAACAGAACCAUAAAGUCUUUGUCACAGCAUUAAUCACGACAGUCAUUAGGGUUGGAAGAGACCUCCAAGAUCUCCUAGUCCAACCCCAAUCCAUCUUCACCAUGACCCUAAAUAGAACCACAGGGUCAUUAAAGUUGGAAGAGACCUCCAAGACCCACCAGUCCAACCCAACCCUUUCCACCAUGCCCACUGACCGCGUCCUCCCCCAAGUGCCACAUCUCCACUGUCCUGUAACUCCAGAGAUGGGGACUCCCCCUCCACCUCCCUGGGGAGUGGGAGGGGGCCUUGGAGCUGUUUUGUUGUCUCAUCUUGUUGUCAGCAAAGGGUGGGGAGCUCCGCUUUCAGCACAUCCCACCCCAUCUUCCACCACACCUCAACCACCAAAGGUCUUAGAUUCAUAGAACCAUAGAGUGAUUGGGUUGGAAGGGUCCUUAAAGAGCACAGAACCGUGGAAUGGUUGGGUUGGAAGGGCCCUUAAAGAGCACAGAACUGUGGAAUGGUUGGGUUGGAAGGGUCCUUAAAGAGCACAGAACCAUGCAAUGGUUGGGUUGGAAGGGUCCUUAAAGACCACAGAACUGUGGAAUGGUUGGGUUGGAAGGGUCCUUAAAGAGCACAGAACCAUGGAGUGGUUGGAUUGGAAGGGUCCUUAAAGAGCACAGAACCGUGGAAUAGUUGGAUUGGAAGGGUCCUUAAAGAGCACAGAACCAUGGAGUGGUUGGAUUGGAAGGGUUCCUCAAAGCCCAUCCAUCUCCAACCCACUCCUCAGCCCACCCAGGCCUCUCUAGAUGCCAUCCCUUCCUUCUGUUGGAUGUGGGGGCCGUCAGCAAACUGCUGGCGCUCCCAAUCCCACCGCCGGUGCUUUCGGUGAAGGAGAGCCCUUCUCCAUUGACCGUGGGUUUCCUGUGGGUUCCUCGGUGAGGAGCAUCGCGUGGGCUCCUGUGGGAGCUCUGCUGCCACUCACUGAUGGUUAAACAGGCUGAGAGGAGCCAGAGGAACACGACGCAUGGCUCGGGGCCUGUGCUGCGCAUCUCCCCCCUUCCCCCAUAGACUGGGGAUGGUUUCGGCACCAGCUCCGGCGCUUGGGGCCGCCGUGGGAAGCCGGGCUGGCGCAGCACCGGGAGCUCACAGCUGUGCAGCUCGGGCACUCGUUGGGGCUCCUGGCGCUCCAGGACGGAAAGUUUCCACGCUCGGCACGUCGGAGCUGGGACCCGGCAGCCCCUUCCCCACAGCACCGGGCGUCCCUGACCCCGUGCAGCGCCGUGCCCGGCAAUGAGGGGCGGCUGUGGCGCUGCCGGGGGAUUCUCUGCGGUGGGGACAGGGAGGGCUGGAGCUGGGGGGAGCGGGGGAGAGCCGGUGAUUAACUGGUGCUGAUACAGCCGUGAAAAAGGAGCUCCAUUACUCUGUCUCUUGGCUGCCCCAGAGCUGAUAUUUAAAGCCGUUUGUAAAGCGGCUCAGUUGGGGCAGGAAAGGCUUUUUCCUUCUGGAAGGAAUGACAUCACCGAAUACAUUUAACCGAUCAGGUCUCUGACCCAAGGAGAGCGAGAAACCCACAACAACUUGCGGCUGAUGAGUGGAAACUUUUCCUUCUUUCUUUCUUUCUUUUUUUCUUUUCUUUUCUCCUUUUUUUUUUUGUUUUUUUUUUUUUUCCGUUUACUUUCCCCCUCUGCGUGCCGGCUCUACGCGGCUCGGCUCCAUGGGCUGCACUCCAGGAUCCGCUCCGAUUCCUCCGGCCCCGCUGCACCCGGGGGGGGGGGGGG
Molecule: long non-coding RNA, 6930 nt
Organism: Tympanuchus pallidicinctus (lesser prairie-chicken)
Lineage: Eukaryota; Metazoa; Chordata; Aves; Galliformes; Phasianidae
Exons: 5
Source: RefSeq, a predicted model, not a curated record